This 118-nucleotide ribosomal RNA is filed under the name Pantoea sp. M_10. Its description in RNAcentral is "partial 23S ribosomal RNA". The stretch from base 1 to 100 matches the Rfam family "Bacterial large subunit ribosomal RNA", at positions 2826 to 2925 of the family's 2925-position model. Lineage: Bacteria; Pseudomonadati; Pseudomonadota; Gammaproteobacteria; Enterobacterales; Erwiniaceae. The record is from RNAcentral.
CCUGAAGGGACGUUGAAGACGACGACGUUGAUAGGCCGGGUGUGUAAGCGCAGCGAUGCGUUGAGCUAACCGGUACUAAUGACCCGUGAGGCUUAACCUUACAACGCCAGAGGCGUUU